This 834-nucleotide long non-coding RNA is filed under the name Felis catus (domestic cat). RNAcentral describes it as "lncRNA (ENSFCAG00000044848.2)". The record is from RNAcentral. Lineage: Eukaryota; Metazoa; Chordata; Mammalia; Carnivora; Felidae.
CAUAAUUCCAGCUAUGGUGGAAUAAUGGCCAUUCUGUAUUAUCUCUGGUUAAAUUCUCCAAUCUGACUCUGGACUCUUCAAACCUCUCUUCCAGCAGGACAAGCUCCUAGCACCCAAGACAGUGCAGGGGAGAAAUCAGUAGGAAAGAACAGUGUUGUGUGCAAAUUGAAGUGGUUGGAAAAUCUAUUGGUCGUGCACAUUUUAAAAACUCUUUGUGAAAUAAAGUGUUGGACUCAGACUUCCAAGUGGCCACCAGUCUGGAGCAAAGUAUAUUGAGAAGUAAAAUGGUUUGUUUCUUCAACUGCUCAUCCCCUUUUGACAUCUGUUCCCUUGGAGGAUGCCAGUGCCCCAGGACCUGGUGCUGGAGAUAACGGCAGCUGGAGCUCACCAGCUUCUUGGACUCACAAAGAUCCUCAUUGCUCUGGGCCUGGUUUGCUGCCUGUCAUUCCUCAGGAGUUCCCUGGUCUACGGAGCCCAAGCUGUGCCAUUUAUAUCAGGAUAUGAACACAAAGUAACUCAAGUUCAGGACACAAAGUAACUCAAGUUCAGGACAGAGGAGACCUCCGAGGGAGAGUUCUUCAAAAGAAAUUGAAAUACUAUGACAAAAGGAAAAGAAAGAACACAUUUCCACUGGGGGUAUCAAAUAUCAUUUUCUUAACAAAACAGGUGACUUUGGCUGGGCCUCAAGGGUAAGUGAGAUUUCAGGGUCAAUGGAAAAUAGUCAGAAGUUCAUGGAGACCAAGAACUAGGACAUGUGUCUGAGUAACAGCAAAUCAUUCUCGUCAUAACGAAUGACAUAAUCUUUGUGGAGCAUACCAUUAAGGUUACAGAAAG